Molecule: ribosomal RNA, 670 nt
Filed under: uncultured Bacilli bacterium
Lineage: Bacteria; Bacillati; Bacillota; Bacilli
Description: bacterial SSU rRNA
Rfam family: Bacterial small subunit ribosomal RNA
Source: RNAcentral
AGGAGCUUGCUCUUCUUGGAAGAGUUGCGAACGGGUGAGUAACGCGUAGGUAACCUGCCUUGUAGCGGGGGAUAACUAUUGGAAACGAUAGCUAAUACCGCAUAACAAUGGGUGACCCAUGUCAUUCAUUUGAAAGGGGCAACUGCUCCACUACAAGAUGGACCUGCGUUGUAUUAGCUAGUAGGUGAGGUAACGGCUCACCUAGGCGACGAUACAUAGCCGACCUGAGAGGGUGAUCGGCCACACUGGGACUGAGACACGGCCCAGACUCCUACGGGAGGCAGCAGUAGGGAAUCUUCGGCAAUGGGGGCAACCCUGACCGAGCAACGCCGCGUGAGUGAAGAAGGUUUUCGGAUCGUAAAGCUCUGUUGUAAGUCAAGAACGAGUGUGAGAGUGGAAAGUUCACACUGUGACGGUAGCUUACCAGAAAGGGACGGCUAACUACGUGCCAGCAGCCGCGGUAAUACGUAGGUCCCGAGCGUUGUCCGGAUUUAUUGGGCGUAAAGCGAGCGCAGGCGGUUUGAUAAGUCUGAAGUUAAAGGCUGUGGCUCAACCAUAGUUCGCUUUGGAAACUGUCAAACUUGAGUGCAGAAGGGGAGAGUGGAAUUCCAUGUGUAGCGGUGAAAUGCGUAGAUAUAUGGAGGAACACCGGUGGCGAAAGCGGCUCUCU